UGACGUUUCGCGAAAAUAUUGUUUUUGACACUUUUUAUGAUAUACUUUUUGUUAUGUGUUUUUUCUUUAAACCUAAGAUUGGCCGAUUGCGAUAAAAACCAUAGAAAGAAGAAUAAUAACCAUAACCUCAAAGUCGAAGUUUUAGUUCAAAAUGUCAUUUAGUUGUUCAAAUGUCAUAGUCAUUUACUUUGUUUGGAUUACACACAUCAUGCCGAAAAUCCCGAAUCUCCGUGCAUUUGGUAAACAUUGUCACAAUUGUGGAAAGUGGAUGGAGCGAAGGGCUCUUCGUAAAGAUGGUGUGUAGUAUUUUAGUAGUGACAUGCAAUUUUUGUAAUGGCAAAAUAUUUGCAAGAGAUGGCAAACAAAAGCAAAUGUGCAGUCGAUGUGUGGAAUGCGACAACAUUAUACUCGAUAAUUUCAAUUAUUGCGAGUGCUGUGGGUGUAAAAUGAAAAAUAAUACUUAUUACCGGAUAGAGAUGUCGAUAACGAAGAGUUGAAUGUUAGAACUUAUGAAAAUAUUAUUUACAACUCAUUUCGAGAAGCUGCUCAAGCAAGAGGGCUCCUUUUUGACGAUCAAGAAUGGGAAAGAUGUUUGAAUGAAGCAAUUGAUUUUAAACUUCCUCGGCAAUUAUUUCGAGUUCGAAGAUUCGAUGAUGUAAAAAUUCAAAUUAUCAAUACCACUGAACAAGGCUUGAAAGGUGAUUAAUAUUUAUCGAAAAAUGUUAUAUAUAGAGAAAUUUUGUGAUAAUCAACCUCUGAUGUAUAAUAGAGAAUAUUUUUUUAUAAGUACCUUUGCCAAAUUCUCGGAUAAGUACUCAUUGUAAAAUUACAAUUUACAUAUACUUCCUAAUAUUAUUCUUGAUUUAGCCAAUUUGGAUAAAGAACCACAAUUUCAUAUUUUAUUUUUAAAAUUAGUAAGUACUUAUCUACCUGACAACUGGUCACUCACAAAACACCACAGGGAAAAGCUUGAACGCUGUCAAAGAGCCAUGGAAAGGAGUAUGACCGGCAUAAAGAAACAAGACAGAGUAAGAAGCAGCACGAUACGACAAAAAACCAAAAUAGUGGAUAUACUAACACGCAUUGACCAACAGAAGUGGAGGUGGACUGGCCACAUGAUGAGAGACCCGCAAAACAAAUGGAGUACAGUUGUCUCCGAUUGGUACCCCAGAGAUGGCAAACGCAACAGAGGACGUCAACAAAUGCGAUGGGAAGACGACUUGAGACUCACGGCAGGAAAUAAGUGGCGAAGAGUGGCAAGGGACAGAACCCAAUGGAAGAAGUUAGAGGCCUAUGCCAAGAGGCACACUGAACUACGAGACAUAUUGUAGUACCUCGGGACUAUAGAGUCCCGGAUUUUUGGGAGGCGAACGUGGGGCC
Molecule: unclassified non-coding RNA, 1380 nt
Filed under: Helicoverpa zea (corn earworm)
Lineage: Eukaryota; Metazoa; Arthropoda; Insecta; Lepidoptera; Noctuidae
Description: uncharacterized LOC124644464, transcript variant X1
Source: RNAcentral